AGUCGAGGGGUAUAGGCUUUCGGGCCUAGAGACCGGCGCACGGGUGCGUAACGCGUAUGCAAUCUACCUUUCACAGAGGGAUAGCCCAGAGAAAUUUGGAUUAAUACCUCAUGGUAUAUAGGAGUGGCAUCACUUUUAUAUUAAAGUCACAACGGUGAAAGAUGAGCAUGCGUCCCAUUAGCUAGUUGGUAAGGUAACGGCUUACCAAGGCGACGAUGGGUAGGGGUCCUGAGAGGGAGAUCCCCCACACUGGUACUGAGACACGGACCAGACUCCUACGGGAGGCAGCAGUGAGGAAUAUUGGUCAAUGGGCGCAAGCCUGAACCAGCCAUGCCGCGUGCAGGAUGAAGCAUCUAUGGUGUGUAAACUGCUUUUGUACGGGAAGAAACAGAGGUUCGUGAACCUCCUUGACGGUACCGUAAGAAUAAGGAUCGGCUAACUCCGUGCCAGCAGCCGCGGUAAUACGGAGGAUCCAAGCGUUAUCCGGAAUCAUUGGGUUUAAAGGGUCCGUAGGCGGUUUAGUAAGUCAGUGGUGAAAGCCCAUCGCUCAACGGUGGAACGGCCAUUGAUACUGCUAGACUUGAAUUAUUAGGAAGUAACUAGAAUAUGUAGUGUAGCGGUGAAAUGCUUAGAUAUUACAUGGAAUACCAAUUGCGAAGGCAGGUUACUACUAAUGGAUUGACGCUGAUGGACGAAAGCGUGGGUAGCGAACAGGAUUAGAUACCCUGGUAGUCCACGCCGUAAACGAUGGAUACUAGCUGUUCGGAGCAAUCUGAGUGGCUAAGCGAAA
RNAcentral lists this ribosomal RNA (790 nucleotides) under uncultured Bacteroidota bacterium. RNAcentral describes it as "bacterial SSU rRNA". It matches the Rfam family "Bacterial small subunit ribosomal RNA", at positions 60 to 856 of the family's 1533-position model. Lineage: Bacteria; Pseudomonadati; Bacteroidota. The record is from RNAcentral.